RNAcentral lists this transfer RNA (61 nucleotides) under Noturus gyrinus (tadpole madtom). Its description in RNAcentral is "tRNA-Asp". The record is from RNAcentral. Lineage: Eukaryota; Metazoa; Chordata; Actinopteri; Siluriformes; Ictaluridae.
AAGAUACUAGUAUAAUUAAAUACCCUGCCUUGUCAAGACAAAGCUGUAGGUUAGACCCCUG